ACCAGACUCCUACGGGAGGCAGCAGUGGGGAAUAUUGCACAAUGGGGGGAACCCUGAUGCAGCGACGCCGCGUGAGUGAAGAAGUAUUUCGGUAUGUAAAGCUCUAUCAGCAGGGAAGAAAAUGACGGUACCUGACUAAGAAGCCCCGGCUAACUACGUGCCAGCAGCCGCGGUAAUACGUAGGGGGCAAGCGUUAUCCGGAUUUACUGGGUGUAAAGGGAGCGUAGACGGCGAUACAAGUCUGAAGUGAAAGCCCGGGGCUCAACCCCGGGACUGCUUUGGAAACUGUGUUGCUGGAGUGCUGGAGAGGCAAGCGGAAUUCCUAGUGUAGCGGUGAAAUGCGUAGAUAUUAGGAGGAACACCAGUGGCGAAGGCGGCCUGCUGGACGAUGACUGACGUUGAGGCUCGAAAGCGUGGGGAGCAAACAGGAUUAGAUACCCCCGUA
RNAcentral lists this ribosomal RNA (445 nucleotides) under uncultured bacterium. RNAcentral describes it as "bacterial SSU rRNA". It matches the Rfam family "Bacterial small subunit ribosomal RNA", at positions 330 to 792 of the family's 1533-position model. The record is from RNAcentral.